AGAAGAUUCCUGCUGCUCUUUGAUCUAAAUUUCCCCAAUGCAUCCUUGAAGAUCAUGCACUUCAUGAAAAGGCUAUGUAAGGUUGAUCUUGCAAUCCUGGACUCAAAGGAUCCUCCCAAGUACCUGAGAUGAAGAGGCACAUCGCCAUGCCUGGUUCAGGAAAAGUCAAUGGUGCUUCAGGAGCUGUCUGAGGCCCAGGAAGAAAUGGACUUCAGAUCAACUCACCCAACACUGAAAGUGAAGAGCCACGAAGUAUGAGAAAGACCUACCUCAGGAACCUUGCUUGAGUCCCAGGUCAUCCCUAACCCAAGACGAGGAACCAGCAGAUUCAAUUUUUGCUUAGAAUUGCUCCCAACAGUCUUGCAGAGUGAAAUGGGUUGUUACAAGAGAACAGACUAGGAUUUCCCCCAGUCUCUCACUUCCUGUCUUGCCAUGGAAGCCUUGUCACUCAUGAUCCUUCCACUAUGAGGCCUUCC
This is a long non-coding RNA of Heterocephalus glaber (naked mole-rat), 476 nucleotides long. The record is from Ensembl. NCBI's taxonomy places the organism in Eukaryota, Metazoa, Chordata, Mammalia, Rodentia, Bathyergidae.